AUUGAACGCUGGCGGCGUGCCUAACACAUGCAAGUCGAGCGGUAACAGGUGUAGCAAUACAUGCUGACGAGCGGCGGACGGGUGAGUAACGCUUGGGGAUCUGCCUAUUAGUGGGGGACAACCCGGGGAAACUCGGGCUAAUACCGCAUACGCACUACGGUGGAAAGCCGGGGACCGCAAGGCCUGGCGCUAACAGAUGAGCCCAAGUCGGAUUAGCUAGUUGGUAGGUAACGGCCUACCAAGGCGACGAUCCGUAACUGGUCUGAGAGGACGACCAGUCACACCGGAACUGAGACACGGUCCGGACUCCUACGGGAGGCAGCAGUGGGGAAUAUUGGACAAUGGGCGAAAGCCUGAUCCAGCGACGCCGCGUGAGGGAUGACGGCCU
Molecule: ribosomal RNA, 388 nt
Filed under: uncultured bacterium
Lineage: Bacteria
Description: bacterial SSU rRNA
Rfam family: Bacterial small subunit ribosomal RNA
Source: RNAcentral